UAAACACGAUCAGGAAUAGUAACUUAUUUACAAAAAAACAACGAAAGACAUUAUUGCAAGUGUAAACAAAACUUUACAGAGCAGACAUAAAAACAGCUUUAAAAUAAUAACUGCUUUCAGUAUAAGCUGGAGUCAGUACAUUAUAAAAUCUGAAAAACAACUUUCAGUUCUAGUUAAGAUGCAAGAAAGUUCUUCAAUAACAUAUAUACCAGAAAAAAAUACAAACAACAUAUCUAGAUAACUCACACAGGCCUCAUUGUACUCAGAAGAAAAAAAGAAAGAGAGAAAGAGGAAAAAAACCAAAACACAAAAACCCAAACGAACUGAAUUCAUUCCACUCAUUUAGCUCAAGUAUUACAGCCAUUUGAAAGAGGUUAACUGUGUUUGUUCAAGUUUAUUUGAAUAUUAAAUGCAAGAUAAGAGAUCUCUAGAUGAAAUGUAAAAGACUGUAUCUUAUUUUUAGGAAAUAAACAGAUUCCAGAGGUGUGUUCCCGCCCAGCCAAUCCCGAGGCUGUUGUGCAGCUCUGCCACCUCUCCAAGCCCAAUCGCAGCUCGGAAGGGAAACUCGUUUUGCUGUUUGUCUCGGCAGCGCUGAUGAUGGAUGGCUGCUUCAGGGGAAGAGAUCAAGCUGUGUGAAUCAAGAAGGUAUCUCCUCAUAGCUGCCUAAACCAACUACGUGUAAAGAAAAAACAAAAAAAAAAAACCUGAGUUUUUUUGUAAUAUAAUUCAAGUACAUAAUCUCUUGGAAAAAUGAUAGCAUACCCAGUUAGUGUCCUAACAGAACUGGCAUCAAAUGAACUACUAUCACCAUCAGCAAGCAACACAGGAUCUGUCUCAGUUCCAAAUUUACCCAGCCCUUAAGGUAGAGCAAAGCCUACUAUGAAAUCCCAUGCUUGACCCUAUAUAGUGCCAUUCAGCAUAGCACUAGUGCAGCCAAGGCAAGACGGUUACAUCCAGGGGGCCAACUCACAGCAUAUUCACUUGGCAAAUCUAGAAAAUCUAGAAAAUGUAGUAACCCAAAAGAAUUAUCUUCUUCACUCACCCCUCCACAAUAACAAGCCAUUUAGCAAGUGCACUGAGACAAGUUUUAAGCCAUUCCAGACAGUGCCAAGUACCAGCACGGCCACAGAGAUUUCUGCUUUGGCUGAACUGCUACUGCUUAAGAGACUGGGAGAACACAGCAAAGUUUACUCUAGCAGAUUACCACUCUGGAAUCUCACCCACUUGAUCUCCCAACCAAGGCAUCUUUCUGCCAACUUCUGUGUGCAAACAGGACAUAAGAGAUUCAAAGUAUUACUACUGCUGAAUCUUCACAUACAGACCAGACUGCAUUACACAGGACAGAACCAGACAGGUUAUAUUUGCAAAGGAUGACCUGGGUAAGUCUGCACCAAAGCCCUAUCUUCAGUACAAGGUGGUAGACUGUCACUGAAACAUACUGCUUUGACCCUCCCACGCCAGCAUCCCUGAAUAAAGUGCAAACGUGGUUACAAUUGCCAACUGAAACAGGCCAUUACAAACUAGGGUUAAACGGGGCUGGCACUGAAAAGUCAUUUGUCACCCCUGCAUUGAUGGAUUUGCAGCAUUACUCUGGUUUAUCAAGAAGAGGUAAGCACUGAGUCAUCUAGCUCAGAAUAACAAAGGUCCCAAACAGUCCCCAGAUAGCACACCAUUUAGUCCUGAAAUUAAGAUGAGCUGUUACAAGAAUUUGGGGAUAUGUUUACAUUUUGCCCAUUUACUUCCAAGAAAACUUCUCCAGUUGUAUAAUAAGCAUUUACAGGGACUCUGAGAAAUUUCUGAUGACCUGAACUGAGAUGAGCUGUCUGUCUGAAGUGACAUGAAAAAGUUCAAGUCCUACUCAUUUCUGGGGUGUGGACACUGAAUGGUCCACUUCAAAGGCCCAUUUUGUCCACGUUCCUCCUCCACAGUCAUGCAAGUCUACAAUUAAAAUAAUUUUUUCAUUUACAGUUAACUAUUAAGUUUUUUUUUGGGGGGGAAGUAUUUUUGACCAGUAUUUGACCUUAAUGCCAUUUCUGUUUAUUUAAAUAACACUGUUACAUUGAUGUACAUGUCACUAUAGAUUUAUCUGGAAGUCUAUCAAUAUUAAAAAUGAAAAUCCAAGAAUCUUCCAUUCCUGACUGAACACACUAACUGGUGGGAAGGACUUCUUGCCUUGCUUCGUAUGCAAGUUAUUUCUUAAGACAGAACAAUUCCUUCAUCUGGUCUGGCCCCUACAUAAAAUCUGGUAUCGUAUCUCAGAAGACAUUUGUUCAUGAAGUCAUCUUUAAACAAUUUGUGAGUGCACAUCUAGAGAAAUCCUCAGUUUCCCAACCCCACCAAGGACUUGUUUAAAAGACAGAAUUUAUUCUUUGUAAAGUGUUUUUGUUUUUUUUUAACCUCAGGACUUCCCAAGUAUUUUUUAGCAACUAUUUUUUGAAGGAACGGCAAAUCAUUCAGCUUCCAUGUGAGAUUUUCAGAAGAAUCUUCUUAAUCAUCUUAGCAUGUUUGCAUGAAGAUUUAUUACUACUGGGAACUACUUUUGAGCCACGUGGCUACCCUGCCCCAGAAGGUCUGAGAUACAGGGAUUGUACCUCCCCCAAAACAUGCAAAUCUGUGACACUCAUGGCACUGCAUUAGGGUUCCCUCUAAUGCAGGCCUCCGGAUCUGAGAGGAGAAACACAGGUGUAAGCCACAUACAUGGGAAACACAUUACAGUCUAUGACUGUAAAAUAAAUUUUUGCACCAGAAGCACCAUGAAGCAGCCAUACUUUUCCACUGCCUUUAGCAGUAAUGAUUUGCACCCUGAAUUCAUACUGUAUGAAGACUCUACUUCCUCCAAGUCUCUUUUACCAGUGUGAGCAAACAUACUAGCUAACUCUAAAAA
Molecule: long non-coding RNA, 2884 nt
Organism: Grus americana (Whooping crane)
Lineage: Eukaryota; Metazoa; Chordata; Aves; Gruiformes; Gruidae
Exons: 2
Source: RefSeq, a predicted model, not a curated record